UAUCCUGGACGACCUGGAUAAACGUCAAUCUCAUCGGGGACGGCCCCA
Molecule: non-coding RNA, 48 nt
Filed under: Xenorhabdus thuongxuanensis
Lineage: Bacteria; Pseudomonadati; Pseudomonadota; Gammaproteobacteria; Enterobacterales; Morganellaceae
Description: mini-ykkC
Rfam family: Guanidine-II riboswitch aptamer (mini-ykkC)
About the family: Simpler in structure and has fewer highly conserved nucleotide positions than the ykkC-yxkD leader. Despite this each of its two stem-loop structures directly bind free guanidine.
Source: RNAcentral